GACGAACCGAGCGAACGUUGUUCGGAAUCACUGGGCUUAAAGGGCGCGUAGGCGGGUGCUCAAGUCCGGGGUGAAAUCCUCCAGCUCAACUGGAGAACUGCCUCGGAUACUGGGUGCCUCGAGGGUGGGAGGGGUAUGCGGAACUAUCGGUGGAGCGGUGAAAUGCGUUGAUAUCGAUAGGAACUCCGGUGGCGAAGGCGGCAUACUGGACCACUUCUGACGCUGAGGCGCGAAAGCCAGGGGAGCAAACGGG
RNAcentral lists this ribosomal RNA (253 nucleotides) under uncultured bacterium. RNAcentral describes it as "partial 16S ribosomal RNA". It matches the Rfam family "Bacterial small subunit ribosomal RNA", at positions 524 to 776 of the family's 1533-position model. The record is from RNAcentral.